ACGGGUGAGUAACACGUAGGUAACCUGCCUAUGAGACUGGGAUAACUAUCGGAAACGAUAGCUAAGACCGGAUAACUGGUUUUCUCGCAUGAGAGAAUCAUGAAACACGGAGCAAUCUGUGGCUUAUAGAUGGGCCUGCGGCGCAUUAGCUAGUUGGUAGGGUAAUGGCCUACCAAGGCGACGAUGCGUAGCCGACCUGAGAGGGUGAACGGCCACACUGGGACUGAGACACGGCCCAGACUCCUACGGGAGGCAGCAGUAGGGAAUCUUCCGCAAUGGACGCAAGUCUGACGGAGCAACGUCGCGUGAGUGAUGAAGGUUUUCGGAUCGUAAAGCUCUGUUGCCCUAGACGAACAGCAAGGAGAGUAACUGCUCCUUGUGUGACGGUAUAGGAGAAGAAAGCCCCGGCUAACUACGUGCCAGCAGCCGCGGUAAUACGUAGGGGGCAAGCGUUGUCCGGAAUUAUUGGGCGUAAAGCGCGCGCAGGCGGUCAAUUAAGUUGGGUGUUUAAGCCCGGGGCUCAACCCCGGUUCGCAUCCAAAACUGGUUGACUUGAGUGUAGGAGAGGAAAGUGGAAUUCCACGUGUA
This 588-nucleotide ribosomal RNA is filed under the name uncultured bacterium. RNAcentral's name for it is "bacterial SSU rRNA". It matches the Rfam family "Bacterial small subunit ribosomal RNA", at positions 102 to 677 of the family's 1533-position model. The record is from RNAcentral.